This is a long non-coding RNA of Etheostoma spectabile (orangethroat darter), 89 nucleotides long. RefSeq lists it as uncharacterized. Lineage: Eukaryota; Metazoa; Chordata; Actinopteri; Perciformes; Percidae. The transcript is spliced from 2 exons. The record is from RefSeq and is a predicted model, not a curated record.
AAAUGGACUCUCAAUGGACCCUUGGCUGUAGUGGUUAUAUAAAUGAAUAUACCGUUCAUUAAAGGAUGGUUCACCAAACAUGCAAAAAA